Molecule: ribosomal RNA, 665 nt
Filed under: uncultured bacterium
Lineage: Bacteria
Description: bacterial SSU rRNA
Rfam family: Bacterial small subunit ribosomal RNA
Source: RNAcentral
UUGAUCAUGGCUCAGAUUGAACGCUGGCGGCAUGCCUUACACAUGCAAGUCGAACGGCAGCACGGGGGCAACCCUGGUGGCGAGUGGCGAACGGGUGAGUAAUACAUCGGAACGUGUCCUGGAGUGGGGGAUAGCCCGGCGAAAGCCGGAUUAAUACCGCAUACGAUCUUGGGAUGAAAGCGGGGGACCGAAAGGCCUCGCGCUCAAGGGGCGGCCGAUGGCAGAUUAGCUAGUUGGUGGGGUAAAGGCCUACCAAGGCGACGAUCUGUAGCUGGUCUGAGAGGACGACCAGCCACACUGGGACUGAGACACGGCCCAGACUCCUACGGGAGGCAGCAGUGGGGAAUUUUGGACAAUGGGGGCAACCCUGAUCCAGCAAUGCCGCGUGUGUGAAGAAGGCCUUCGGGUUGUAAAGCACUUUUGUCCGGAAAGAAAACCACUUCUCUAAUACAGAGGUGGGAUGACGGUACCGGAAGAAUAAGCACCGGCUAACUACGUGCCAGCAGCCGCGGUAAUACGUAGGGUGCGAGCGUUAAUCGGAAUUACUGGGCGUAAAGCGUGCGCAGGCGGUUCGCUAAGACCGAUGUGAAAUCCCCGGGCUUAACCUGGGAACUGCAUUGGUGACUGGCGGGCUAGAGUAUGGCAGAGGGGGGGUAGAAUUCCAC